This 520-nucleotide ribosomal RNA is filed under the name uncultured Glomus. Its description in RNAcentral is "SSU rRNA". It matches the Rfam family "Eukaryotic small subunit ribosomal RNA", at positions 569 to 1091 of the family's 1831-position model. The record is from RNAcentral. Lineage: Eukaryota; Fungi; Glomeromycota; Glomeromycetes; Glomerales; Glomeraceae.
AGCAGCCGCGGUAAUUCCAGCUCCAAUAGCGUAUAUUAAAGUUGUUGCAGUUAAAAAGCUCGUAGUUGAAUUUCGGGGUCAGUAGGCUGGUCGUGCCUCCGGUACGUACUGGUCUUACUGAUUCCUCCUUCCUGACGAACCGUAAUGCCAUUAAUUUGGUGUUGCGGGGAAUCUGGGCUGUUACUUUGAAAAAAUUAGAGUGUUUAAAGCAGGCUAACGCUUGAAUACAUUAGCAUGGAAUAAUGAAAUAGGACGAUCGAUCCUAUUUUGUUGGUUUCUAGGAUUGACGUAAUGAUUAAUAGGGAUAGUUGGGGGCAUUAGUAUUCAAUUGUCAGAGGUGAAAUUCUUGGAUUUAUUGAAGACUAACUACUGCGAAAGCAUUUGCCAAGGAUGUUUUCAUUAAUCAAGAACGAAAGUUAGGGGAUCGAAGACGAUCAGAUACCGUCGUAGUCUUAACCAUAAACUAUGCCGACUAGGGAUCGGAUGAUGUUAAUUUUUAAUGACUCAUUCGGCGCCUUAC